AUGAAGAUGGCGACUUGCAUUCGUAAGGUGGCCUCGGAGGAGUUUGGAGUGUCCAGGGGAAGGAGAAGCGAAGAUAAGGAUACCUGGUGGUGGAAUGAUGAUGUCCAGAAGGCGCUUAAAGAGAAGAAAGAUUGCUUCAGACGCCUAUACCUGGAUAGGAGUGCAGACAACAUAGAGAAGUACAAGAUGGCGAAGAAGGCCGCAAAGCGAGCUGUUGGUGAAGCAAGGGGUCGGGCAUAUGAGGACCUCUACCAACGAUUAGGCACGAAGGAAGGUGAAAGGGACAUCUAUAAUAUGGCUAAGAUCCGGGAGAGGAAGACGAGGGAUAUUGGCCAAGUCAAAUGCAUCAAGGACGGAGCAGGCCAACUCUUGGUGAAGGACGAAGAGAUUAAGCAUAGAUGGCGGGAGUACUUCGACAAGCUGUUCAAUGGGGAGAAUGAGAGUUCUACCAUUGAACUGAAUGACUCCUUUGAUGAGACCAGCAUGCAUUUUGUGCGGCGCAUCCAGGAGUCUGAGGUGAAGGAGGCUUUAAAAAGGAUGAAAGGAGGCAAGGAGAUGGGCCCUGAUUGUAUCCCCAUUGAGGUGUGGAAAGGUCUCGGGGACAUAGCGAUAGUAUGGAUAACCAAGCUUUUCAACCUCAUUUUUCGGGCAAACAAGAUGCCAGAAGAAUGGAGGCGGAGUAUAUUAGUACCAAUCUUCAAGAACAAGGGGGAUGUUCAGAGUUGUACUAAUUACCGUGGAAUUAAGCUGAUGAGCCAUACAAUGAAGCUAUGGGAGAGAGUCAUUGAGCACCGCAUAAGAAGAAUGACAAGCGUGACCAAAAAUCAGUUUGGUUUCAUGCCUGGGAGGUCGACCAUGGAAGCCAUUUUCUUGGUACGACAACUUAUGGAGAGAUAUAGGGAGCAUAAGAAGGACUUGCAUAUGGUGUUCAUUGACUUGGAGAAGGCCUAUGAUAAGAUACCGCGGAAUGUCAUGUGGUGGGCCUUGGAGAAACACAAAGUCCCAGCAAAGUACAUUACCCUCAUCAAGUACAAUAAUGUUGUGACAAGUGUUAGAACAAGUGAUGUCGACACCGAUGACUUCCCGAUUAAGAUAGGACUGCAUCAGGGGUCAGCUUUGAGCCCUUAUCUUUUUGCAUUGGUGAUGGAUGAGGUCACAAGGGGUAUACAAGGAGAUAUCCCAUGGUGUAUGCUCUUUGCGAAUGAUGUGGUGCUAGUUGACGAUAGUCGGACGGGGGUAAAUAGGAAGUUAGAGUUAUGGAGACAAACCUUGGAAUCGAAAGGGUUUAGGCUUAGUAGAACUAAAACCGAGUACAUGAUGUGCGGUUUCAGUACUACUAGCUGUGAGGAGGAGGAGGUUAGCCUUGAUGGCCAGGUGGUACCUCGGAAGGACACCUUUCGGUAUUUAGGGUCAAUGUUGCAGGAGGAUGGGGGUAUUGAUGAAGAUGUGAACCAUCGAAUCAAAGCCGGAUGGAUGAAGUGGCGCCAAGCUUCUAGCAUUCUCUGUGACAAGAGAGUGCCACAAAAGCUAAAAGGCAAGUUCUACAGGACGGCGGUUCGACCCACAAUGUUGUAUGGCGCGGAGUGUUGGCCGACUAAAAGGCGACAUGUUCAACAGUUAGGUGUGGCGGAGAUGCGUAUGUUGAGAUGGAUGUGUGGCCACACGAGGAAGGAUCGAGUCCGGAAUGAUGAUAUACGAGAUAGAGUUGGGGUAGCACCAAUUGAGGAGAAGCUUGUCCAACAUCGUUUGAGAUGGUUUGGGCAUAUUCAGCGCAGGCCUCCAGAAGCUCCAGUGCAUAGCGGACGGCUAAAGCGUGCGGAGAAUGUCAAGAGAGGGCGGGGUCGACCGAUUUUGACAUGGGAGGAGUCCGUUAAGAGAGACCUGAAGGAUUGGAGUAUCGACAAAGAGCUAGCUAUGGAGAGGGGUGCGUGGAAGCUUGCUAUCCAUGUGCCAGAGCCAUGA
This 1962-nucleotide ribosomal RNA is filed under the name Triticum aestivum (bread wheat). RNAcentral describes it as "partial small subunit ribosomal RNA". The record is from RNAcentral. Lineage: Eukaryota; Viridiplantae; Streptophyta; Magnoliopsida; Poales; Poaceae.